UUGACAGGAGAGGAAAGACAGGCCAACUUUGUUAGCUGUUCGUUAGGAUAUGCUCGAGAGGACAAAAGAUUUUGCACCUCGUUAUUGUUGGACCUCUGUGUGGAAACUGCAAACGGACGUCAUAAGUGUGGUGCAUUGCUGUCCUCCUGCCCUUGCUGGCCGCGCUGACAUUGUGAUGUAGCCUCAGUUCUUUGAGAGACAAGACAAAACAGCAGGGAAUAAUUUUAUGUCUGCAAGCCGCUGGAUGAUCAGUUUGGAGGGCAAGAUAUUUUAUGAGCCUGAGCAGAUGCACGACUUUGGCAGCACCCUUGCUGUCUUCUUUGCGCCAUACUACAUUUUCAACCUUGAGUAUCAGGAGUCAGCGUCCAUCACACUGGAGAUGAUACAGAGGUUCUUUGUGAGGAUCCAGACAUGGGAACAAAAUGCCCUGCAAAACUUGGUACAAGCCGCAAGACAGGUCGUGUCGUAAAGAGGAAGGUUACAAGCAUCAGCCCUCGGAUCACCACCUUCCUCCAGCGGCUCUCUGGAGGACUUCCAACUAGGUGGUGAUGAAGACUACGCUGACUACCAUCCUGGUAACGGAAAUCUAAAUCCCAUGUCACUUUCUAUUUCCUGAGACCCACUGAUAAUUAUUACAUUUUGUAAAUGAUUUUUGUUUUACAAUUGUAAUAGUUUAUUUAAUGUUCAUGCUGGUGGGUUUGUCCUGUUUUUAGUGGAAUGAAAAACUGUUUUCCUUAAAAAAAUCAGACACAGAAAGGUGAAGGACUGUGUAGU
This is a long non-coding RNA of Oreochromis aureus, 774 nucleotides long. RefSeq lists it as uncharacterized. NCBI's taxonomy places the organism in Eukaryota, Metazoa, Chordata, Actinopteri, Cichliformes, Cichlidae. The transcript is spliced from 5 exons. The record is from RefSeq and is a predicted model, not a curated record.